AGUGAACGCUGGCGGUAGGCCUAACACAUGCAAGUCGAACGAGUGGCGGACGGGUGAGGAAUACAUCGGAAUCUACUCUGUCGUGGGGGAUAACGUAGGGAACCUUACGCUAAUACCGCAUACGAUUGACUGAGCCGAUGUCGGAUUAGCUAGUUGGCGGGGUAAAGGCACACCAAGGCGACGAUCCGUAGCUGGUCUGAGAGGAGGAUCAGCCACACUGGAACUGAGACACGGUCCAGACUCCUACGGGAGGCAGCAGUGGGGAAGAUUGGACAAUGGGCGCAAGCCUGAUCCAGCCAUACCGCGUGGGUGAAGAAGGCCUUCGGGUUGUAAAGCCCUUUUGUUGGGAAAGCGGUACCCAAAGAAUAAGCACCGGCUAACUGCGUGCCAGCAGCAGAGGUAAUUC
RNAcentral lists this ribosomal RNA (406 nucleotides) under uncultured bacterium. RNAcentral describes it as "partial 16S ribosomal RNA". It matches the Rfam family "Bacterial small subunit ribosomal RNA", at positions 29 to 526 of the family's 1533-position model. The record is from RNAcentral.